This is a long non-coding RNA of Nycticebus coucang (slow loris), 4412 nucleotides long. RefSeq lists it as uncharacterized. The transcript is spliced from 3 exons. Lineage: Eukaryota; Metazoa; Chordata; Mammalia; Primates; Lorisidae. The record is from RefSeq and is a predicted model, not a curated record.
CCCAGAUGGAAGGUGAGAGGAAGUGAUGGUGGAGUCACACCCACAGGGCCACACCCAGAGGGAAGGUGAGAGGAAGUGAAGAUGGAGUCACACCCACGGGCCACACCAAGAUGGAAGGUGAGAGGAAGUGAUGACGGAGUCACACCCACGGGCCACACCCAGAUGGAAGGUGAGAGGAAGUGAUGGUGGAGUCACACCCACAGGGCCACACCCAGAGGGAAGGUGAGAGGAAGUGAUGGUGGAGUCACACCCACGGGCCACACCCAGAGGGAAGGUGAGAGGAAGUGAUGACGGAGUCACACCCACGGGCCACACCCAGAUGGAAGGUGAGAGGAAGUGAUGGUGGAGUCACACCCACAGGGCCACACCCAGAGGGAAGGUGAGAGGAAGUGAUGGUGGAGUCACACCCACGGGCCACACCCAGAUGGAAGGUGAGAGGAAGUGAUGACAGAGUCACACCCAUGAGCCACACCCAGAUGGAAGGGGAGAGGAAGUGACAAUGAGCCACACCCACGGGCCACACCCAGACAGGGCCUUCAGAGGUCUCAACAGGCUGACAGCAUCACAACCAACCAACACAGCAGAGAAGUCGCCCACUGUGGGGACUGCUGGGAGGAGCCAGGACACAGACCCAGCAGAGCUGGACAUCAACCGACGGGAAGGAGCCACAAGCCUGGGAUGAGGCUGUGUGGCUAUAGUGCCCCACGAGCCAUUUUCCCCCCAACCCCAUGCCCUCACCCCCGGCUCUGGACCAACCUCCUCCUCUAGGUCUGGCAUUUUAGGGUAUUGUUUCUAUCACGUUCUGAGAACAACAACGAGAUCCUCGGGGGCCCUGACAAGGAUCAGCAACAGCAAGUCCAGGCAAAACAUCCAGCAGCCAGCACUUGGCUGGCUCCCUUCAGGUGGGAUAGCAGAGGAAGACGCGUCCAGCAGCCCUCAUGACCAAGGCUGAGACGUCUGGGAGUAGAGUUCUUCCACAUGUCUUUGUCAGGAGAAGCCGUGUUUAUCUGCUUUACUGCCGGACCAGCCCUGCCCGCAUCACCACAGCCCUUUUAUGGUGAAUGUCCCUGUGAAACACCCCAACCUGAGUGAGGAAUGCGGAGGGCCCUGCCAAUCUGCCCGGCGCCGGACAUCCAGGACAGUUUCAUUUCCCUCCAAAGUUAACUGUUGGAGACUGGAUUUCCUCUUUCCACAUCUGUAACUUGACUCUAAAUCUUCCUAAAACUCCUUCCCAGUGGCACACAGCCUUCUAGUUGUCCACAGAGGAGCACUCUGCCUAGAAACUUAACAGCAGGAAAAGUCAUGUGAGCACAACAGCAGCCUCCCAGUAAAGCCCCUCAGACUCUCGGAACACAGACAAGGCGGCUGGACCAGUCAUGCCACCUCCAGAUACCAAGGAAACAGUCUUCACAGGGUAAUCUGGCGUCAUAACACUUUCUGAGCUUAUUUUUAAUCUUUUUUUGAGGUACAGUCUCAGUCCGUCACCCAUACUGGGGAGAAGUGGCAUCAUCACAGCUCACUGCAGCCUCCAACGCCUAGGCUCAAACAACCCUCCCGCCACAGCUUCCCAAAGUGGUUGGACUACCACUGUGAGCCACCAGGCCUGGCCUGAGUUUAAUGUUUUUUCCAGUGUCAAUCAAACCCGAGACACAGAAUCGGCAGGCGACCUGACCAUGCACAGCAGGGCCCUCCACCUCCCUCUGCCCACUGCAGACACUCACCACUCUCAAGUGUCUGCCAACAUCCAGUAAGAGCAGGGGUCCCGGCUCAGCACUUGUAGCUCAGUGGGUAGGACACCGGCCACAUACACCGAGGCUGGCAGGUUCAAACCUGGCCUGGGCCAGCUAAACAAUAAUUACAAUUGCAACAACAACAAAAAUAGCCGGGCGUUGUGGCAGGUGCCUCUAGUCCCAGCUACUUGGGAGGCUGAGGCAAGAGAAUCGCUUAAACCCUAGAGUUUGAGGUUGUUGUGAGGUAUGAUGCCACGGCACUCUACUCAAGGUGACACAGGGGCUUCUGCAACCCUGCUACAGGGGCACCACUGAGCAGAGAGGAGGAUGGAGGGUGACUGAGCCUCAUGAUUUGCAGGACAGAACGGAGUCGCCCACCUCUGGGCCACUCCAGCCUCAUAGGGACGUGAGAUUGGGAGUGGGACAGAAAGAGACCACAUACAAGAGAAAUGACUAGAUCUUUCACAGCCAAUAAGCUAAGCAAACUGUACGCAAGAUCAAGACAAAUAAAUCCAAAUGUGGGCACGUCAUGGUCAAGCCAAGGGGAUGAGAAAGUCAGAGAAAAAAAAGCUCAUCACAUACAAGGGAUGGUGACCCAACAGCUGACCUCCCAGCAGAAACUGCAGACACCGGAAUACAUACAUGACAUUUUUAUUUUAUUAUUAUUUUAAUUAUUAUUUUUUGAGACAAGAGUUUCAUUUUGUCUCCCCGGGUAAAGUGCUGUGGCAUCAUAGCUCACAGAAACCUGAAACUCCUGGGCUCAAGCAAUUCUCUUGCCUCAGCCUCCUGAGUAGCUGGGACUACAGGUGCCCGCCACAACACCAGGCUAUUUUUAGAUAUCGGGUCUCAUUCUUGCUCAGGCUGGUCUUGAACCUGUGAGUUCAGCAAUGCACCUGCCUCGUCCUCCCAGAGUGCUGGGAUUACAGGCAUGAGCCACCAUGCCUGGCCAUAAAUGACAUUUUUAAAGGGCUGAAAGGAAAAAUCCUAUCAACCCAGAAUUUCAUAUGCUGUGGAAAUAGCCCUUUUAAAAAAGAUGAAAUAAGGGCAUUUUUCAGAAAAAUCAUUGCCAGCUGACUUGUGCUACAAGAAAUGCUAAAAUGUUAAAAGCAGCUCAGGGCCCAUAGUACAGUAGUUACAGCACUGGCCACAUACACCAAGGCUGGCAGGUUCGAACCCGGCCCAGGCCAGCUAAACAAUAAUGACAACCGCAACCAAAAAAUAGCCGGGCCUUGUGGCAGGUACCUGUAGUCCCAGCUGCUUGGGAGGCUGAGACAAGAGAAUCACUUAAGCCCAAGAGUUUGAGGUAGCUGUGAGCUGUGACACCACAGCACUCUACCGAGGAGUGACAUAGUGAGACUCUGUCUCAAAAAAAAAAAAAGAAAGAAAAAGAAAUGCUAAAAGCUAGAGGGAAAUGAUUCCAGCUGAAAACCUGGAUCUAGAGGAAAGAAAUGAUGAACAACUGGGAAAAUAUGAAACACUUGUGUAUCUCUUCUUGUUAAUUUACAUACAAGUUAAAUAAGGAAAAAAUGAUAACACCACAGCAUAAGGUGGGGUUUAUAACAUAUUUAGAAGUAAAAUAUAUGACAACGAAACCACAAAGUUGGCUGCCAUAACCAGAAUGGCAUACUCAGGGGUUUCACAUCUGCUAAGGAGGGGAAUCACAUACUUUGGCAUUUAUUCUGAUCACUCGGUAGAUUCAGCACAACCCAAAACAAAGUCCCUUCAGGCAUUUUAUAGAAAUGAAUGAGCUGAUUGCAAAGUUUAUAAGGAAAUGCAGCCAAAACAAUUUUGAAUAAGAACAAGGAAGACUGACCACCUAUUUCCAAGACUUAAUUAAGCUGCGGUGUGGAGCCCAUGGGGGACCUGCAGAGCCAUGGUGUCCACAGAGGUCAAGGUCCAGACACAGAACCACAGACAUGGUCUGUGGGUUUCUGACAAAGGCCUCAGGAUCCCUGACAAGGGAAGAUGGUCUCUCCAACAAAUAACGUUGGAAGCACCGGAUCUUCACAUGCAACACAGCAACACUGACCCCUCCCCUCACACCAGACAUCCACAGCAUUUCAAAAUUGAUCAGAGGCAUAAACAUAAAAGCUAAAACCAUAAAGUCUCUAGAAAUAAAUGUAGAAGAAAAAUCUCUACAAUCUCAGGGCAGGCAAAGAUUUCUUAGGCAGGAUCCAAAAGCAUGAAAAAUGAGUACAUUCUACUUCACUAAAAUUCACAGGUGUUUUUCUCUUCAGAAGGCACAGUUAAGAAAAUGAAAAGGCAAGCCAUACUCUGGGAAAUAAUACAUGCAAAGCACAUACACAGCAAAGGACUUUUGUGCAGACUGUAUAAAGAACUUUGCACACAAGAGGACAGACCACCUGAAACGCAGGCUAGCCAUGGAUGACACUUUCCAAAAGAAGAUGCUCAGAUGUUAAAGGGGCACAUGGGCAAGUGCUCAGCAGAGAAAUGCCAAGGGCUCCACCUGCAGCAGGCAGCCUCUGAGAUGGCCCCAUGACCCUGAGUAAUCCCUCCCGGUGUGGCCUGGGCCUAGUGACUCCCUUCCAAUGAGCUGAAUAUACUGGAUGUGAUGGGCAGUCCCUCCCAAGAUGAGGUUAUGAAAGACCAUCCUCCCGGCACACCCACACUCUCCUUGCAGCCGGCUGUGCCAUGAGCUGCCCUGUGGACAGGCCCACGUAU